AAAUUGAAGAGUUUGAUCAUGGCUCAGAUUGAACGCUGGCGGCAGGCCUAACACAUGCAAGUCGAACGGUAACAGGAAGCAGCUUGCUGUUUCGCUGACGAGUGGCGGACGGGUGAGUAAUGUCUGGGAAACUGCCUGAUGGAGGGGGAUAACUACUGGAAACGGUGGCUAAUACCGCAUAACGUCGCAAGACCAAAGAGGGGGACCUUCGGGCCUCUUGCCAUCAGAUGUGCCCAGAUGGGAUUAGCUUGUUGGUGAGGUAACGGCUCACCAAGGCGACGAUCCCUAGCUGGUCUGAGAGGAUGACCAGCCACACUGGAACUGAGACACGGUCCAGACUCCUACGGGAGGCAGCAGUGGGGAAUAUUGCACAAUGG
RNAcentral lists this ribosomal RNA (377 nucleotides) under Salmonella enterica subsp. enterica serovar Bardo. RNAcentral's name for it is "bacterial SSU rRNA". It matches the Rfam family "Bacterial small subunit ribosomal RNA", at positions 1 to 374 of the family's 1533-position model. The record is from RNAcentral. Lineage: Bacteria; Pseudomonadati; Pseudomonadota; Gammaproteobacteria; Enterobacterales; Enterobacteriaceae.